This 73-nucleotide transfer RNA is filed under the name Phycisphaerae bacterium. Its description in RNAcentral is "tRNA-Gly". It matches the Rfam family "tRNA". Rfam says of the family: Transfer RNA (tRNA) molecules are approximately 80 nucleotides in length. RNAcentral also lists the same sequence under 1 other name. The record is from RNAcentral. Lineage: Bacteria; Pseudomonadati; Planctomycetota; Phycisphaerae.
GCGGGCGUAGCUCAAUGGCUAGAGCGUCAGCCUUCCAAGCUGAAUGUUGUGGGUUCGACUCCCAUCGCCCGCU